RNAcentral lists this ribosomal RNA (531 nucleotides) under Clonostachys rosea. RNAcentral describes it as "eukaryotic LSU rRNA". The stretch from base 160 to 313 matches the Rfam family "5.8S ribosomal RNA". Lineage: Eukaryota; Fungi; Ascomycota; Sordariomycetes; Hypocreales; Bionectriaceae. The record is from RNAcentral.
UGGUAUACGGAGUUAACUCCCAACCCAUGUGACAUACCUACUGUUGCUUCGGCGGGAUUGCCCCGGGCGCCUCGUGUGCCCCGGAUCAGGCGCCCGCCUAGGAAACUUAACUCUUGUUUUAUUUUGGAAUCUUCUGAGUAGUUUUUACAAAUAAAUAAAAACUUUCAACAACGGAUCUCUUGGUUCUGGCAUCGAUGAAGAACGCAGCGAAAUGCGAUAAGUAAUGUGAAUUGCAGAAUUCAGUGAAUCAUCGAAUCUUUGAACGCACAUUGCGCCCGCCAGUAUUCUGGCGGGCAUGCCUGUCUGAGCGUCAUUUCAACCCUCAUGCCCCUAGGGCGUGGUGUUGGGGAUCGGCCAAAGCCCGCGAGGGACGGCCGGCCCCUAAAUCUAGUGGCGGACCCGUCGUGGCCUCCUCUGCGAAGUAGUGAUAUUCCGCAUCGGAGAGCGACGAGCCCCUGCCGUUAAACCCCCAACUUUCCAAGGUUGACCUCAGAUCAGGUAGGAAUACCCGCUGAACUUAAGCAUAUCAAA